This 496-nucleotide ribosomal RNA is filed under the name uncultured bacterium. RNAcentral describes it as "partial 16S ribosomal RNA". It matches the Rfam family "Bacterial small subunit ribosomal RNA", at positions 28 to 506 of the family's 1533-position model. The record is from RNAcentral.
GAUGAACGCUGGCGGCGUGCCUAAUACAUGCAAGUCGAGUGAACAGACGAGGAGCUUGCUCCUCUGACGUUAGCGGCGGACGGGUGAGUAACACGUGGAUAACCUACCUAUAAGACUGGGAUAACUUCGGGAAACCGGAGCUAAUACCGGAUAAUAUAUUGAACCGCAUGGUUCAAUAGUGAAAGACGGUUUUGCUGUCACUUAUAGAUGGAUCCGCGCCGCAUUAGCUAGUUGGUAAGGUAACGGCUUACCAAGGCAACGAUGCGUAGCCGACCUGAGAGGGUGAUCGGCCACACUGGAACUGAGACACGGUCCAGACUCCUACGGGAGGCAGCAGUAGGGAAUCUUCCGCAAUGGGCGAAAGCCUGACGAAGCAACGCCGCGUGAGUGAUGAAGGUCUUCGGAUCGUAAAACUCUGUUAUUAGGGAAGAACAAAUGUGUAAGUAACUAUGCACGUCUUGACGGUACCUAAUCAGAAAGCCACGGCUAACUACGU